UGGGCGAGUUGACAAAUCAUAAAAAGAAUGGUAUAAAAAAACAGCACUUUGCCCGUUAAAUUAAGUCAUAAAGCAUCGCAAUAACGUUUUCCGACGGCCCUGCUGUAGACUACCUAUCUGUUGCAUUUCUACUCUGCCACGUGGAAGGUCGCUUUAAGUUUUCAAAAAAGAAGACGCAAGUUUUCACGAGGGGCACAAUGACAGAAAAAAUACGAUAAAGCGAAGUGUCUGUCUAUGCUCGCGCCUCAUCCGCCUGCGGGGAGACCAGACACCUGCACCCAAGCGUCGCACUUUGCUUUCGUUCUCGUUUGAAAGGAACAUUAUGCAAGUUUGACUUCUCUUAUUUGAACCCGAUGGCUGAAUCUUGGUGAUGCGGAGACCUCCCAAACACCCCAGAGCUUCCUGCCCUGCUUUGCUGAUGCUGCAACGGUACUGUGCUGGACCUCUCUCCUCUUCAGGGAAGCUGUACUCUUGUAUGGAUGUAUGAAAUACUGCCAACUGUAUUGCUGAAGUGCAAACUUUCAAAAUAUCCACGUACUGCUUCUCCCUCCUGUUGGAAGUCAACUGUAGCCUGUUCUUGUGUGUAUGUAGGAAAUACUACCCACUGUAACUGUAUUGCUAGAGUGCAAGCUUGUGGAAUUUCUCCAAGACCCCAUCCUCCUUGUUUCCC
Molecule: long non-coding RNA, 670 nt
Organism: Oncorhynchus tshawytscha (Chinook salmon)
Lineage: Eukaryota; Metazoa; Chordata; Actinopteri; Salmoniformes; Salmonidae
Source: Ensembl